UACGGAGGGUGCAAGCGUUAAUCGGAAUUACUGGGCGUAAAGCGCACGCAGGCGGUCUGUCAAGUCGGAUGUGAAAUCCCCGGGCUCAACCUGGGAACUGCAUUCGAAACUGGCAGGCUAGAGUCUUGUAGAGGGGGGUAGAAUUCCAGGUGUAGCGGUGAAAUGCGUAGAGAUCUGGAGGAAUACCGGUGGCGAAGGCGGCCCCCUGGCCAUGUCCUGACGCUCAGGGGCGAAAGCGUGGGGAGCAAACCGG
This 253-nucleotide ribosomal RNA is filed under the name uncultured bacterium. Its description in RNAcentral is "partial 16S ribosomal RNA". It matches the Rfam family "Bacterial small subunit ribosomal RNA", at positions 524 to 776 of the family's 1533-position model. The record is from RNAcentral.